Molecule: ribosomal RNA, 490 nt
Filed under: uncultured bacterium
Lineage: Bacteria
Description: partial 16S ribosomal RNA
Rfam family: Bacterial small subunit ribosomal RNA
Source: RNAcentral
AGUGAACGCUGGCGGCAGGCCUAACACAUGCAAGUCGAACGGCAGCACAGAGGAGCUUGCUCCUUGGGUGGCGAGUGGCGGACGGGUGAGGAAUACAUCGGAAUCUGCCUAUUUGUGGGGGAUAACGUAGGGAAACUUACGCUAAUACCGCAUACGACCUACGGGUGAAAGCGGAGGACCUUCGGGCUUCGCGCAGAUAGAUGAGCCGAUGUCGGAUUAGCUAGUUGGCGGGGUAAAGGCCCACCAAGGCGACGAUCCGUAGCUGGUCUGAGAGGAUGAUCAGCCACACUGGAACUGAGACACGGUCCAGACUCCUACGGGAGGCAGCAGUGGGGAAUAUUGGACAAUGGGCGCAAGCCUGAUCCAGCCAUGCCGCGUGGGUGAAGAAGGCCUUCGGGUUGUAAAGCCCUUUUGUUGGGAAAGAAAAGCAGCCGGUUAAUACCCGGUUGUUCUGACGGUACCCAAAGAAUAAGCACCGGCUAACUUCGUG